GGCUUGGUGGUCUAGUGGUAUGAUUCUCGCUUAGGGUAACACCCUGAAGCAUCCUUUGCUACGGCAUCGUUUGCGAGAGGUCCCGGGUUCAAUCCCCGGCCAAGCCC
Molecule: non-coding RNA, 107 nt
Organism: Xylariaceae sp. FL0594
Lineage: Eukaryota; Fungi; Ascomycota; Sordariomycetes; Xylariales; Xylariaceae
Source: the annotation of a GenBank genome assembly